GAUUUGAUGCUUGCAUUGAUGAAAGAUGAGCGGCGGACGGGUGAGUAACGCGUGGGUAACCUGCCCUAUACACAUGGAUAACAUACUGAAAAGUUUACUAAUACAUGAUAAUAUAUAUUUACGGCAUCGUAGAUAUAUCAAAGUGUUAGCGGUAUAGGAUGGACCCGCGUCUGAUUAGCUAGUUGGUGAGAUAACUGCCCACCAAGGCGACGAUCAGUAGCCGACCUGAGAGGGUGAUCGGCCACAUUGGAACUGAGACACGGUCCAAACUCCUACGGGAGGCAGCAGUGGGGAAUAUUGCACAAUGGGCGCAAGCCUGAUGCAGCAACGCCGCGUGAACGAUGAAGGUCUUCGGAUCGUAAAGUUCUGUUGCAGGGGAAGAUAAUGACGGUACCCUGUGAGGAAGCCCCGGCUAACUACGUGCCAGCAGCCGCGGUAAUACGUAGGGGGCUAGCGUUAUCCGGAUUUACUGGGCGUAAAGGGUGCGUAGGUGGUCUUUCAAGUCGGUGGUUAAAGGCUACGGCUCAACCGUAGUUAGCCUCCGAAACUGGAAGACUUGAGUGCAGGAGAGGAAAGUGGAAUUCCCAGUGUAGCGGUGAAAUGCGUAGAUAUUGGGAGGAACACCAGUAGCGAAGGCGGCUUUCUGGACUGCAACUGACACUGAGGCACGAAAGCGUGGGUAGCAAACAGGAUUAGAUACCCUGGUAGUCCACGCUGUAAACGAUGAGUCACUAGGUGUCGGGGGUUACCCCCCUCGGUGCCGCAGCUAACGCAUUAAGUACUCCGCCUGGGGAGUACGCACGCAAGUGUG
RNAcentral lists this ribosomal RNA (811 nucleotides) under uncultured Clostridia bacterium. RNAcentral's name for it is "bacterial SSU rRNA". It matches the Rfam family "Bacterial small subunit ribosomal RNA", at positions 69 to 896 of the family's 1533-position model. Lineage: Bacteria; Bacillati; Bacillota; Clostridia. The record is from RNAcentral.